This 115-nucleotide small RNA is filed under the name Mytilus galloprovincialis (Mediterranean mussel). Lineage: Eukaryota; Metazoa; Mollusca; Bivalvia; Mytilida; Mytilidae. The record is from RNAcentral.
AAUUCUUUUUUCUUUAAGAGGAGCAGUGUUGUGCCACUAUUAUUAUAUGAAUAAAAUAUAAAAUAUGCAAAUAAUCGUGGCACAACACUGCUCCUCUUAAAAAAAAAAGAAUUCU